CCUUGUACACACCGCCCGUCACACCAUGGGAGUGGGUUGUACCAGAAGUAGCUAGUCUAACCUUCGGGAGGACGGUUACCACGGUGUGAUUCAUGACUGGGGUG
Molecule: ribosomal RNA, 104 nt
Filed under: uncultured bacterium
Lineage: Bacteria
Description: partial 16S ribosomal RNA
Rfam family: Bacterial small subunit ribosomal RNA
Source: RNAcentral